Molecule: small nuclear RNA, 55 nt
Filed under: Hucho hucho (huchen)
Lineage: Eukaryota; Metazoa; Chordata; Actinopteri; Salmoniformes; Salmonidae
Description: U7 small nuclear RNA (ENSHHUG00000030066.1)
Rfam family: U7 small nuclear RNA
About the family: Animal histone pre-mRNAs are spliced by a different mechanism than nuclear pre-mRNAs and self-splicing introns. This processing involves the U7 snRNP, which contains only one RNA species: U7. The 5' end of U7 RNA is thought to base-pair to a conserved spacer element downstream of the cleavage site in histone pre-mRNA.
Source: Rfam by way of RNAcentral
GAACAUUUGUUCUUUUAGUAUUUAUUCAGUAGGUUUUCUGAAGGAGAAAGCCCAC